AUAUGUAUUACCUGAGAAUCUUGUUAAAAUGCAGAUUCUGAUUCAGUGGACGUGCUGUGAGGCCUAAGAUUCUACAUUUCCAAUCUGCUUCCAGAUGAUGCUGCU
Molecule: microRNA precursor, 105 nt
Filed under: Marmota monax (woodchuck)
Lineage: Eukaryota; Metazoa; Chordata; Mammalia; Rodentia; Sciuridae
Source: RNAcentral